CCCGGGCCCCAGCGGGUCGGGGACGCAGAGACCCCGCUCCGUGCGGGGUGGGGGCGCCGUGCCAGCCCCGCGGGGGUGCCCCAAGCGCUGUGUGUGUGUGUGUGUCCGCGCGCGCGCGCGUCUACACCCGCUGGAACUCGCUUGCUCGGGGUUAGGGGGAUAACGCUGUCCGCAGCUGGUUUCCUCUUCGUUGCCAGCCAGAGGGGCCUUCCCGGGAAACGCGUGGGCAUCCUUCGAGGUGCCGUGGGGCUGCGGAAGAGUGCAGGCACCCGGCAGGCAGCUGACGUUUAUGGAGCAUCUCAGUGUGCCAGGUGCUUUGCCUGGAGUUGACCACCUUCCAUCCUUUCCACAAUCUGUAAGGAAGGUGGAAUUAUCCCCAUUUCUCAGAUGAGCAACGGCCCUGCCCAGAACUCUUGACUUGCCCGAGGUCAUAUGGCUUGGUAACUAUAGAGCUGGGAUUUGAGCCCAGGUCUGCGGAGCUCUCCGACCGAGCUAAAAGAAAGGAAACUCCUUAGAACUAGGUAAAGAAACACACAGAAGAACUAAAGACCACCAGGAUAAAGCCUACGGGCAAAGCAUUUGGGAAUUAACAGGGAAAAAAACAAAUGAGUUCGUGAAAUCUCCCAUCACUUAAUUUCAAAUCUAAGACCGCAUUUACACAGCCUUCUACGUCUGGCUCUGGGGGCGAGGUGUUGGAGGUGGAGAGAAGACUGCGCCAGGGCUGGGCAGAGGCGGCUGGGGACACCUUCUCAGCGGAUCCGCCUGCUGGGAGUGGGGGGGGGGGUGGGGUGAGGAGAAGUUGUGGAGGGAACUCAGUUGUUAUUCAUCGCCAAUGUUAGUCAUCCCUUCACCUCACCCCGCCCCGUGGAUUCUAUUUCCUUCCUUUACUCCCUGUUUUGUCCAAGAUGACCGUAGUCAAAUUGAAGCUGGUCCUACUGCCAUCACUAUGUGUCACCACGUCUUGGCAUCCAGUGGUCCUGUGCUUCGGUGACUGUGUUAGGAGCUGUGAGAGAGAGAGACAGCGAGAGCAGGAACACAAGCAGGGGGAGUGGGAGAGGGAGAAGCAGGCUUCCCGCCGAGCAGGGAGCCCGAUGUGGGGCUCGAUCCCAGGACCCUGGGAUCAUGACCUGAGCCGAAGGCAGACGCUUAACGACUGAGACACCCAGGUCAGCAGAAGGCCAAAGUGGAAGAGCUUUGCCCAUCUUGCAGACACACCAUUUGGAAAAUGUGGCCUCUGUAGUCACCAGCGCAGGAGGAGCUCAUGGGAGAAUUGCUCUCCGACUCCUCUGUGCUUUGCUCUGGAACUGAUGCAUUGCUGCUCAUGCCCACAGCCCGUUGGUCAGACCUCACUGGGAGGCCCUGGGAAAGGAUGGGGGGUGACGUGUGUGGAUGGAAAGUUCAGAGAACAUCACUGUCUCUCCCACGUAGGGCUUGUUAUGGACCUUAAGCCUCAUUCCGAAUUUCUCCAAUGGGAGGAUUAUGUGAAUUCCUUUAAAGGAAACAAAAUGUUGUAGAUUCCUAGUGGUGGCUUAAAUUAUUUUUUAUUAUAAUGUAGUUCAAAGACGUAGUAGCAUGAAAGAGGUCAAUACUCUAUGCUUGGAACUCGCAUAUGACUCUGAAACCAAAACAAAUAUAUGUGUAAAAUAUCAACACAGCUACAAAUCGAGAAAUUCAAAUUAACUGGAUGAAUUUAGUGUGAUGGAUGAAGUUAUUUUCGCUACAAUGAAAUCACUGUUUCUGAUUCUAAAAACAACUGUUCAGGUCUUGUGAAUUUGGUAUGAUAUGUGUCGUGCCACAUGGGUUACCUGAUGGCUCAGUUCUCAUUAGUUCUCUAUGUUAAGUCUGAUUUCUUAUUUUCUUAUUAGCCUGUGACAGUUAAAAUAUUUCUGGUCGCCAACUAUAUCGUAAAUGCACGAAUACACCCAGUGAAACGAUGUGGCAGCACUUGGCCAUAACAUGGAUGUUCACAUGAUCCAGAAUAUGUUUCUGUAGAUUUUCUAUGGAUAAGCUUAAAAAAGAUUAUCAUGGAAAUGGAAGCACAAAGUUAAACAAACAUAAUUUGAGAGAACUUGCAAAUGCCCUAGAAUGUGUCUGAGGAUCCUCGGGAAUUUGAGAAACAGGUGGAAAAAACCCCUGGAGUGUUUAAUGAAGGAGGCAGAUGACCAGCUUUAUGGCUCAGAGACAUUGCUUGCCCAGGUGUGGGUAGGUAUGGGGUAGGGCGGAAGGCCAGAGACAGGGGGGUCGGGUCCCAUGUGCUGAGGAUAGGCACUGAGGCAGUGAGUAGUUAAGGGAAUGGAGAAGAGGUGCCAGGUUUGAGAGAGAUUUGGGAGGUGGAAACCACAGGACUUGGAGAUUGGCUGUGGGGGGUGAGGGGAGGGAUGCGGAGUCAGAGAUGGCUCAUCACCAUGGGGUCGGGGUGGCUGACGGUGCCACUGACCAGGGUGAGGACCACCCACGUCCACGGGAAGCCCAGAAGAGCUCCACGCCAGAGCUGGACUACCCAUAUUCAUCGCCCCGUCUUUCCUGACUGACUUGAGCUCUCCGGAACCGAUUUCUGAGGAACUGCAGUGUCUUGCAGUGUCUGGUUUUUUUUGUUUUUGGUUUUUUCCCUCUCUAGGACUUUUCGUUAGUGCUCAUUUGGGAUGUGAUUGGCUUUGUUAGCCUUUCGGUUGUGUCUGCUGGUCCUGACCCACUGGAGCAGGUUCUCUGUGGCCUAAUUAGGCACAUACCUUGUGUCUUCUCCAUGUUUUGAGAAAGUGAAAAAUAUUUGACAAAAUCGUGGAUGGUUCUGAGAGAGAAGCUGUCAUACCAUAUAAAGUGAGAUUAGUUAUCUGCCUUCAGUUUUUAAGAGCACCAAGUCUGGUUUUUUUUUUUUUUUUGGACAGAGAUACUCAAAAUUCUCCGAGGAGAGAACAGGUGCGGCGCAGGUUAAAUGCUCUCUAGGUAAUUACAUAACAAGGAAUCUGGAAACUCUGCCCUUGGGGGAAGCUGAGGGCAGAGAACACAAGGGCACCCAAACAGACAUACAAAUAAAAAUGUCACAAACUGAAGGCAAAUCUCUAUGCUGGCCAGAGUGAGAUCUUGUAUUAAUUAAAGUUACUGGCUCGAAAUAAUUUAAAAUGUCACCUGGUGUCUCCUCUUUGUGUGAAUUAUUAACCCGACCUACCCUCCUCCGUGGAAGCCCCAGGAGCCAACUGCCAGAAGUGCCUUCCGUUCUGUGUGUUCCCGCUCACGACCAGCUGCUACUUGUCUCUUGGCCUUGGCACAGGCGUCACCUUCGUGGCAGAGCUUCUGACGUCCUCCAGGGGACCCGCACCCCACCGCAUCUCUUUGGAACUUGUGACAAAUGGUGUGUAAGCAAGGGCUGACCUGUCACCCCCCAGAGACCACACGCUUCCGGAGGACAGGCACUGUGUCUACUCGUCUUGGAAUCCCCCCCAGACUAGUGGAGCAUUUUUCCUAAGAGCUGGCUCCACACCCACGAGCUAGGCACCUUUGAGAACCAUUGUUGGUCUGGUUGGAGGGGCUGUGGUCUACGCCACAGUGGCCUGAUUUUUGGAAUGUCUCCUCUGGGAAUGGGUUGGGUGAAGCUGGUUGUUCAAUGUAGUUCAGAUGUUGUGUUGAUUUUGGAUUGGCUGUACCCAGAAUCCGUGCCCCCCAGAUAUUCAUGUGCUCCCCUUCUUGAGCAGAUGCUAUCAGCCCUGGCUUUAGUUCUUGUUCUUACGGUUCCCCUGCAAUCCACCGCAGCCCUGUUUGAGGGCUUUCUUUGGCCGUAGGGGAAUGGCUCGCUCAUUCUUGGAGAAAGCCAGAGGUUCUGGGGAGUUAAUGCUCCUGAGAGCCACCCUCAACCCCUCAUGGAGGGCAACGGGUGGAUAAAUAUCACAGUUGCCUUGCCCCUCCGGUGGGACAACCUUUGGACAUGUUCUACCCAUUCUCCCAGAAGGUUCCUCUCCGAGCUGAGCCCAGAUUGUCCAUAGCAGCGACCAGCUGGCCCAUGCUGCUGGACUGCCUCAUUGCUUCACCCUCCGCAGCGCUUCCCAGGAUCACCUCCCAGCUCAACUCAAAUCCUGACCCCAGGCUCUGCUUUUGGGAGAGUCCAACACAAGACCCUUUUGGGUUGACUGGGGCAACUGGACUAUGGGUGGAAGUGCUGUGUGUCACUUGUCUUGCAGAGCAGAGAAGAGCCAGGGCACUGCCAUUGUGUCUGUCCCACUUGGAGGGUCUGAGAUGGAGGAGGGCUGCUCAGUCCACGUGGAAUUCAUACGGGCAAGAACUCUUCUUAUGGUAGCUGCUGUCUGAGGCUCCUACCUACCUGCCAUGUAGGGUGCCAACACUGAAGUCAGUCCAUCCUCCAUUUCCCCGCCCUGUGCUGAUGCCUGAGAGCUUGGGAUCUUACACCUGUGACCUCCUUUAAUGCUUCCAGUGUCCAAACUCUCCUCCCUUCGGUGGCUUGAUUAAUAUUAAAGUACAGUUUAUUUAUGUGUUUCUGUGGCUUCUAAGUCAUCUGGUAUCCAAAUUCAUUUUACUUCCAAUUAUUAACCAAUUGUUUCAAUAUUGAAUAAAAAUGAUUCUUACCUUCCUGAUUAGUUUGUAAUGAUCUUGUAUUAUACAUUAAAUUCUCAUGCGAAGUGGUAUCUAUUUUGAGGCUACAAUUUUCUUUUUUUCCCCUAAAAUCCAGCUAUUCUUGUGUAAGUACCAAGAUCUUGCAAUUGGAGCUCUGUAAUAUAUUUUACUAUCUUCAUUACUCAUUUUCAUCUCUCUCCUGUCCUCCCUCAAAAAUUGCAUCAAUACUUAAACGGCAUCAA
Molecule: long non-coding RNA, 4805 nt
Organism: Mirounga angustirostris (Northern elephant seal)
Lineage: Eukaryota; Metazoa; Chordata; Mammalia; Carnivora; Phocidae
Exons: 3
Source: RefSeq, a predicted model, not a curated record